This 451-nucleotide ribosomal RNA is filed under the name uncultured bacterium. RNAcentral's name for it is "partial 16S ribosomal RNA". It matches the Rfam family "Bacterial small subunit ribosomal RNA", at positions 28 to 507 of the family's 1533-position model. The record is from RNAcentral.
AGCGAACGCUGGCGGCAUGCCUAACACAUGCAAGUCGCACUGGGGGGCUUCGGCCUCCCAGUGGCGGACGGGUGAGGAACGCGUAGGGACCUGUCGAGGGGUGGGGGAUAACCGCGGGAAACUGCGGCUAAUACCGCAUGACGCCGCGGCGUGACAGCCGGGGCCAAAGGCGAAAGCCGCCCGCCGAGGGGCCUGCGUCCGAUUAGCUGGUUGGCGGGGUAGCGGCCCACCAAGGCGUCGAUCGGUAGCUGGUCUGAGAGGGUGAUCAGCCACACCGGGACUGAGACACGGCCCGGACUCCUACGGGAGGCAGCAGUGGGGAAUAUUGGACAAUGGGCGCAAGCCUGAUCCAGCAAUGCCGCGUGGGUGAAGAAGGUCUUCGGAUUGUAAAGCCCUUUCGGCGGGGACGAUGGUGACGGUACCCGCAGAAGAAGCCCCGGCUAACUUCGUG